Molecule: ribosomal RNA, 494 nt
Filed under: uncultured bacterium
Lineage: Bacteria
Description: partial 16S ribosomal RNA
Rfam family: Bacterial small subunit ribosomal RNA
Source: RNAcentral
GACGAACGCUGGCGGCGUGCUUAACACAUGCAAGUCGAACGGUGAAGCGCCUUCCUUUUUGGUGGGUGUGGAUGAGUGGCGAACGGGUGAGUAACACGUGAGUAACCUGCCCCCUUCUUCUGGAUAACCGCAUGAAAGUGUGGCUAAUACGGGAUAUUCUGGGUCUGUCGCAUGAUGGGUCUGGGAAAGAUAUUGUUUCGGUGGGGGAUGGGCUCGCGGCCUAUCAGCUUGUUGGUGGGGUGAUGGCCUACCAAGGCGGUGACGGGUAUCCGGCCUGAGAGGGUGGACGGUCACACUGGGACUGAGACACGGCCCAGACUCCUACGGGAGGCAGCAGUGGGGAAUAUUGCACAAUGGGCGCAAGCCUGAUGCAGCGACGCCGCGUGAGGGAUGGAGGCCUUCGGGUUGUGAACCUCUUUCGCCAGUGAAGCAGGCCUGCCUCGUUUGUGGGUGGGUUGACGGUAGCUGGAUAAGAAGCGCCGGCUAAUUACGUG